RNAcentral lists this ribosomal RNA (117 nucleotides) under Canis lupus dingo (dingo). Lineage: Eukaryota; Metazoa; Chordata; Mammalia; Carnivora; Canidae. The record is from RNAcentral.
GUCUAGGGCCAUACCACCCUGAAUGCACUCAAUCUUAUCUAGUCUCUGAAGUUAAGCAAUGAUGGAUCUUGUUAGUACUUGGAUGGGAAACCUUAUGAUUUUUAAUAACUUUGUGUA